UGUUGGUUGGUUGGCUGGUUGGUGUUCUACACGAAGGCACCUUCUAGCGGGUCUGUUCAAACAUGGUCCAUGACUUUUAGGUAGAAGCGAGGGGAUUGUCUUAAUGGUAGCGCGGAUAGAGUUUUAUUGGAAUGAUUUCAUCAAAUUUUCGCCAUGUUGCAAUUGUUGAUGACAAGCAGCGAAUGCUGUGGGCCAGUUCUCUUGAUCAUCCUCCAAGGCCUUGUCUUUUGCGGACUCUUUGAGAUGGAUGAAUUCUUGAUUGAAAUCCUGUGGCGAAAUUCCUACGAAUUCCAUCAACACGUCCUGCUCCGUAGGCAUCCUAGACGCAACAUAACUUCUUGGAAACGUAUCCACCCGUUUUUUCGCGAUCUACUGUUCCUAGUAUGAUUCGCGAUAAGUAUCCCCAAAAAUAAACCCCCCCCCACGGUAAGCUUCUUCCAUUCGGUUGUGCGGAUUAUUGCGGCAGCCUGCUUUCGCACCUGAGCAACGGCAAAGAUUAUGGAAUUUAUGGACCAUCGCUAGCGCUAAGGCUCGGUUCCCGAUUUAUGGUUGCCGAUAGGAGUAGCUGUGCGCUAUGCGCAAGGUUGAUCAACUCAAGCGGGGCCCCCUUAUCUUUGGGGCUUUGGUGUCUUUGCUUCACUCCUUGCAUUUACCGUAGCCGUCUUGCCAGGACGGGAGCGCGUUGCACAAGCAUCCGGCCAAUGUUUCGUACAGCUCGGGGUCCGAUAAGCUCCCUUCCAACAAAGAAGAAGAGAACCUCCAAAGUCUCCCCAGCUAUUUCCACAAAAAUGUGUACCUGUGCGUAGUUGCGCAAUGCCAUGACUGUACCCGAUUUGUAAUGUGGUGGACUUUCUUCUUAUUCCUUACCGUAAGUGGUCAUCCGCAGCAAGUAAAAACCCCGCGCGGAUAAUAUCCCAACGAAUGUUCUUGUCGCUGUCCAACACGAUGUUCCUGAUGUAAUCCGGACGUUGCAGGACAAUGCCACUAGCUUGAUGUGGUUUUCUUUGUGUGUGUGUGUGUGUGUGUGUGUUAGAUAGGAGGCAGAAUGUAUUAGUAAGCCUCGGUUUGUAAACCUGCAACUCAUGGCGCAACCCUCACACAUCUCACGCAUCGUACGACCGUUUGUCGAUAAAGUCUGCCGAAGCGUUUGAUUUCGCAACGCCAAGCGUUCUAUGCCAAAUAAGCCAGCUUUGCUAAAACUGUCACAAACAGCAAAAGGUGGUGAAGAAUUCGUAUGUUUCAUGCUGUUGCAUCAUAAUCCCCCCCACAAAAAAAAAACCGGACCAUAAAAAAUGGUAUGCUCGCCUCUCUUCGCUUGACUCUUAUCGUGUGAUAGUUUUCGGAAACGGAAUGGGUUUGGUGACUUCGUGUGCGUGUGUACCUUACCCUCCGAGCCGAAUGGGUUAGUGUAUGGUGUGCGUACAAAAGAUCAAAAAAUCCCAUAUCUCCUCGCAAAGGUGAUUCGUGCACGAAGGGGAGGACUAGGUGUGAAGAUCGCCACGCCGGUGGUGAUUGAGGUGACGUUGAGCGAUUUUCCUUAUCGGUGAUUUCACACAGGAUAGAUGGGUUGGCUAGGGAGGGUUGAAGGGUCGGAACCCAGAAGAAAAAGGUGUCCGCAACGGUACACCAACGUGAACGGAUUGGGUACACAACACAAACGCGCUUUGUAUAAAUAUCGAUGGCACGUUCACACCGACACUGAGUCAUUUAUCUGCGGUCUUCGAAUCCCGGUCGCCCGGGUUCUGGUGGUGUAUUGGUACCUUUUUUCGGUACGCAAGUCUCCGGCGCGAUUGAUAACGUAUCGGGAGCCUUCUCUAGCACCACUACUACCACCACGGCCGGAAAACUGCCGUGGGCAGCCGCCAUUUCGCUAUCGAUCAAUGGUCGAUUCGAGUCCCCCCGUUUUGGGACUGGCCCGUGUGAUAAUAACGGUGAUGCGAUCCUGAACCGUCCGUCCGUUGAUAACGCGCGUAACGCCGUCUCUUUCUAUCGGCCGUCGGAACACGAGGGCUUAGCGGCCGUAUCGACUGGUGCCCGUUCGAUAUGAUGGUCGAAUGACACAAGCGACACUCGUUUAUCGGUUAUAAAAGCUGUGUACAUUUUAAAAUGCUCUUAUUACCGUGGAUCGCUUAGUGUGGACAGGACCGGGUGUGUUACCGGUCGGACGACCGAGUUGAGUGGUUUGCUGAUGUGGCGCAAAAUGGGGGUAAAAGUGUUAUCAUUAAGGUGAACCUGAUUGUGUUCUGAAGUUCAAUCUGAAGAUCUGAGUGUGAGGUUUUUCGUUGGAGAAUUAUGGCGAGACUUGAAGAUGAAGUGUGGACAGUGCUUUUGAUAAGACCACAAACACACACACGUUCACGCUACGAUCGUGGGUAUUUUAGAUCGUAGACAGACCACGUUUUCACGAGGCUCUCGGUGAGCAGGUGAGGUACGUAGCCUGUUCGGGCCACAUCUGCUCCCGCCAGAGCCUUCCCGCAUGCUGUCAGAUCUACUUCAUACCCAUGAAUGGUGGCGUGAAAUCAGCCGUGACUCAUCGAAUGCCGUGGUGUCGGUACGCCCGGGUGGCCGCGAACGCGAACAAAAUCACGAUAUGGAAUAAGUGGAGUAGUGGUCUCAUCGCUUAGUUUCAGAAAAGUGAGAUUCUACUUCUCCGACUUAAUUCAUAUCUAGUUGAAUCAACAGAAACUGCACAACAGAAACGCACCGGAAGAGAAAACGAACCCGUGAAGAGCAGAUAACACAUGAGGUCUCAAAGACCCAACGCGUCUAUAAAUAAACGAAACAAAAAAAACUUUGUAACGCGUGUUUCCGGUCGCUUGGUUGACAACGCCCAACCCGAGCGAGCGUAUGUCGACGUAAGCGUUCGGCGCCAGAAAGUAGGCAAUCCGCAGAGCGCGUUCGAUGGUUAGCGAUGAACGCUUGGUUAACGGUUGCUUUGCGUUCAAACAAAUUGUGCUUUGCAGGCGUGUUUUACAAUUUUACAGGCUGUCAAAGGUAAAAACUAAUUGAAUAUUUAAAAAGCAGCGCUUUGUUCAUCGUUUUGCGUGUGAGGCAACAGAUUGCGAUUAGCAAGUGUGUGCCCAGCUCGCCCAAACACGUCUCCUUUGCGUGUCAAACCGACACCUAGCGUAACUUCAAAUGACAUGAUUGAAACAAUUCGCGUACGUGAACGCCGUUAACGAGCUGCAAACCAUUGCAUUAGAGUCAUCCCCGCGAGGCUAGUGCAAGCUGAGUGAGUUAGAAGGAGUUGUUUGUUUAAAAAAUUGUCGUUCGAUUGACCAUUCUCUCCUCGUCCUCGCGCACUCACAGCUCGCGGUGAUGUAAUAAUGAUCUGCCGAACACAAGUUACGGUUUGCCGCGGUGUUCCGAUUACACGACACACAUUGGGUAGCGUGCGAGAUCCCUACCGGCGCUACAGGUAAAGCAAACAUCGGAACGGAUAAGUAAUUAUAGGGGUUUGCACCGCAACGCUUCGUAGUGCGAUAAAAGCUAGCAGCGAUCGUGCCGUCCGUAGCGGACCCGACGGGCAAGGAUAACAUUUUACCAAUAUUUCGUUACGAGAAAAAUAAAAAUAAACAUUCCACCCGGUUUCCUUUUUCCAGUCCUUCCAGAGAGAACCCUCCAGCAGAGAUUAAUAACUCAGUUUUUAUGGGUUCAAGGAUCAUCGCGGCAGAGAAAAGUUGAUCAUAAAGGGGUUAGUUGGACUGAAACAAGGAUGGUUCGGGAAAAUAGGCGCAAAAGGACGCACCAGCCAGCAGUUCGUUUGAUCGCUUUCCAAUCGUUUUCGAAGGGGUGUGUAUCAACAAAUUAGAGGCAGGUCGAGAGAGGGAAAGACUGUCGAUGGAAAUAAAAUUUUAAUACCAUCGUCCUUGCAGGAUUGAGACUUGAUCAGGCAAGGAUUCGGGGCUCUACCACCAGAAA
Molecule: long non-coding RNA, 3921 nt
Organism: Anopheles stephensi (Asian malaria mosquito)
Lineage: Eukaryota; Metazoa; Arthropoda; Insecta; Diptera; Culicidae
Exons: 2
Source: RefSeq, a predicted model, not a curated record